AUCCUUCUAGGUCAUGAGCGUGAUGAACGGGUCGAUCACUGUCUGUCAGUGAGAUGUGCCGCCUUCCUAUCCUUGUUACGCAAAGGCACAGUACCCUUCUGAUC
This is a small nucleolar RNA of Brienomyrus brachyistius, 104 nucleotides long. RefSeq annotates it as small nucleolar RNA U13. The record is from RefSeq and is a predicted model, not a curated record. NCBI's taxonomy places the organism in Eukaryota, Metazoa, Chordata, Actinopteri, Osteoglossiformes, Mormyridae. The transcript has a single exon.